Molecule: transfer RNA, 76 nt
Filed under: Fimbriimonas ginsengisoli Gsoil 348
Lineage: Bacteria; Bacillati; Armatimonadota; Fimbriimonadia; Fimbriimonadales; Fimbriimonadaceae
Rfam family: tRNA
About the family: Transfer RNA (tRNA) molecules are approximately 80 nucleotides in length. Their secondary structure includes four short double-helical elements and three loops (D, anti-codon, and T loops).
Source: Rfam by way of RNAcentral
GGCCACGUAUUUUCAAUCGGAUUAGAUGGGCGCACUGUCUAUGCGUCGGUUGCGGGUUCGAGUCCCGUCGUGGCCG